CUUUGCUGUGGGCUGGGAGGCGAGUUUUGGAUGACAAGCUUGUAUUUGCAAAAGUACACACCCUGUGGGAGGUGCUCUGCACAUACGUUGAGAUACUGCACAUAAAAUUGCCUCUGAAGCCCAAUGAUCUGAAAACCCGGUCCUCAGCCUUUGAUAAUUUCAGCUGUUAUCUGAAAGUCCCCCAAGUGGAUGAAAGUAUCAUCAAGCUGGAGCAAGAGUUUUUCAUUUCCCUAUUUGAGAAGAGCUGCGUGAAUGACUUUUAUAUUCAGGAUAGAGAUACAUUCUUCAAUCCAGCCACCAGAAGCUGCAUUUGCAACUUCAGCCUCCAUCAGAGGACCUCAGCUGCCCCAGCAAACUGGGCCUUCUCUACAGGGAAUGGGCUCCUCCUCAAAGCAUAGACAAGAAGCAGCCCUUAGAUCUCAUCAGGUGAGCUGUUGUAGAGAGCACUCCAGUGGGAAGGGCUCAGGGUUGCCCUCAUGGCAUCUGAGUGUGACAGUCCUCCAAGAGUGUUACCAACCAGGAAGCUCACAGGAGCUCUGAGCUUUAUUGCCCCAAGUCUUUUCUGGAGGCUUUAUUACAAAGACAUGAUUUAUUGGGUCACUACCGACAUGGCUAACCCAAACCCUAACUGUAACUCAAACCUUUCCUUAGCCCUAACCAUUGAGCCCAUUCCUCUCCUGGUGGUCACUCAUUUGUCACAAAGCUCAA
Molecule: long non-coding RNA, 708 nt
Organism: Camelus dromedarius (Arabian camel)
Lineage: Eukaryota; Metazoa; Chordata; Mammalia; Artiodactyla; Camelidae
Exons: 3
Source: RefSeq, a predicted model, not a curated record